AGCAGCCGCGGUAAUUCCAGCUCCAAUAGCGUAUAUUAAAGUUGUUGCAGUUAAAAAGCUCGUAGUUGAAUUUCGGGGUCAGUAGUUUGGUCGUGCCACAGGUAUGUACUGAUCUUACUGAUUCCUCCUUCCUGACUGAACCGUAAUGCCAUUAAUUUGGUGUUGCGGGGAAACUGGACUGUUACUUUGAAAAAAUUAGAGUGUUUAAAGCAGGCUAACGCUUGAAUACAUUAGCAUGGAAUAAUGAAAUAGGACGUUCGAUCCUAUUUUGUUGGUUUCUAGGAUUGACGUAAUGAUUAAUAGGGAUAGUUGGGGGCAUUAGUAUUCAAUUGUCAGAGGUGAAAUUCUUGGAUUUAUUGAAGACUAACUACUGCGAAAGCAUUUGCCAAGGAUGUUUUCAUUAAUCAAGAACGAAAGUUAGGGGAUCGAAGACGAUCAGAUACCGUCGUAGUCUUAACCAUAAACUAUGCCGACUAGGAUCGGAUGAUGUUAAUUUUUUAAUGUACUCAUUCGGCGCCUU
Molecule: ribosomal RNA, 520 nt
Filed under: uncultured Glomus
Lineage: Eukaryota; Fungi; Glomeromycota; Glomeromycetes; Glomerales; Glomeraceae
Description: SSU rRNA
Rfam family: Eukaryotic small subunit ribosomal RNA
Source: RNAcentral